CCUACGGGAGGCAGCAGUGAGGAAUAUUGGUCAAUGGACGAGAGUCUGAACCAGCCAAGUAGCGUGAAGGAUGACUGCCCUAUGGGUUGUAAACUUCUUUUAUAUGGGAAUAAAAUGUUCCACGUGUGGGAUUUUGUAUGUACCAUAUGAAUAAGGAUCGGCUAACUCCGUGCCAGCAGCCGCGGUAAUACGGAGGAUCCGAGCGUUAUCCGGAUUUAUUGGGUUUAAAGGGAGCGUAGGUGGAUUGUUAAGUCAGUUGUGAAAGUUUGCGGCUCAACCGUAAAAUUGCAGUUGAAACUGGCAGUCUUGAGUACAGUAGAGGUGGGCGGAAUUCGUGGUGUAGCGGUGAAAUGCUUAGAUAUCACGAAGAACUCCGAUUGCGAAGGCAGUUCACUGGACUGCAACUGACACUGAGGCUCGAAAGUGUGGGUAUCAAACAGGAUUAGAUAACCCAGUAGUC
This 460-nucleotide ribosomal RNA is filed under the name uncultured bacterium. RNAcentral describes it as "partial 16S ribosomal RNA". It matches the Rfam family "Bacterial small subunit ribosomal RNA", at positions 338 to 795 of the family's 1533-position model. The record is from RNAcentral.